GACGAACGCUGGCGGCGUGCUUAACACAUGCAAGUCGAACGGUGAACUCCGCUUGCGGGGGAUCAGUGGCGAACGGGUGAGUAACACGUGGGCAACCUGCCCUCAGCUCUGGGAUAACUCCAAGAAAUUGGGGCUAAUACCGGAUACGACCGCUGACCGCAUGGUCUGGUGGUGGAAAGAUUUAUCGGCUGGGGAUGGGCCCGCGGCCUAUCAGCUUGUUGGUGGGGUAGUGGCCUACCAAGGCGACGACGGGUAGCCGGCCUGAGAGGGUGACCGGCCACACUGGGACUGAGACACGGCCCAGACUCCUACGGGAGGCAGCAGUGGGGAAUAUUGCGCAAUGGGCGAAAGCCUGACGCAGCGACGCCGCGUGGGGGAUGACGGCCUUCGGGUUGUAAACCUCUUUCAGCAGGGACGAAGCGAAAGUGACGGUACCUGCAGAAGAAGCACCGGCCAACUACGUG
RNAcentral lists this ribosomal RNA (464 nucleotides) under uncultured bacterium. RNAcentral describes it as "partial 16S ribosomal RNA". It matches the Rfam family "Bacterial small subunit ribosomal RNA", at positions 28 to 507 of the family's 1533-position model. The record is from RNAcentral.